ACGCACGCUGGCGGCGUGCUUAACACAUGCAAGUCGAACGGAAAGGCCCUGCUUGCAGGGUCCUCGAGUGGCGAACGGGUGAGUAACACGUGGGUGAUCUGCCCUGCACUUCGGGAUAAGCCUGGGAAACUGGGUCUAAUACCGGAUAGGAGCCAUUUUUAGUGUGAUGGUUGGAAAGUUUUUUCGGUGUAGGAUGAGCUCGCGGCCUAUCAGCUUGUUGGUGGGGUAAUGGCCUACCAAGGCGGCGACGGGUAGCCGGCCUGAGAGGGUGGACGGCCACAUUGGGACUGAGAUACGGCCCAGACUCCUACGGGAGGCAGCAGUGGGGAAUAUUGCACAAUGGGCGCAAGCCUGAUGCAGCGACGCCGCGUGGGGGAUGACGGCCUUCGGGUUGUAAACUCCUUUCGCUAGGGACGAAGCUUUUUGUGACGGUACCUAGAUAAGAAGCACCGGCUAACUACGUG
This 464-nucleotide ribosomal RNA is filed under the name uncultured bacterium. RNAcentral describes it as "partial 16S ribosomal RNA". It matches the Rfam family "Bacterial small subunit ribosomal RNA", at positions 29 to 507 of the family's 1533-position model. The record is from RNAcentral.